UGAAUACGAGACGCUAAGGCGUCGAAGUAGUGUAUGUCAUACUUCCAAGAAAAGCUUGCACUGUCAUAGAUAAAAACGCCUGUACCAUAACCGACACAGGUGGGUAGGUAGAGUAUACUAAGGGGCGCGAGAUAACUCUCUCUAAGGAACUCGGCAAAAUAACUCCGUAACUUCGGGAGAAGGAGUGCCUUAUUCGUAAGGUUGCAAUAACAAGAUCCAAGCAACUGUUUAUCAAAAACACAGGUCUCCGCUAAGUCGUAAGACGAUGUAUGGGGGGCUGACGCCUGCCCAGUGCCAGAAGGUUAAAGAAGUUGGUUAGCAAUUGCGAAGCUGAUAACUGAAGCCCUGGUGAACGGCGGCCGUAACUAUAACGGUCCUAAGGUAGCGAAAUUCCUUGUCGGGUAAGUUCCGACCCGCACGAAAGGCGUAAUGAUUUGGAUACUGUCUCGGAGAGGGGCUCGGUGAAAUAGACUUGUCUGUGAAGAUGCGGACUACCUGCACCAGGACAGAAAGACCCUAUGAAGCUUUACUGUAACUUGAAAUUGAAAUUGGACUUUAUUCGCGCAGUAUAGGUGGGAGGCGUUGAUUAUAAUCUUGUGGGAUUAUUGGAGCCAUCAGUGAGAUACCACUCUUGUAAUGUUAGAUUUCUAACUUUGAAUCAUUAUCUGGUCAAAGAACAGUUUCAGGCGGGCAGUUUGACUGGGGCGGUCGCCUCCUAAACGGUAACGGAGGCGUACAAAGGUUUCCUCUGAACGGUUAGAAAUCGUAUCUAGAGUGUAAAGGCAUAAGGAAGCUUGACUGUGAGACCUACAAGUCGAGCAGGGACGAAAGUCGGUCUUAGUGAUCUGACGGUACUGAGUGGAAAGGCCGUCACUCAACGGAUAAAAGUUACUCUAAGGAUAACAGGCUGAUCUCCCCCAAGAGUUCACAUCGACGGGGAGGUUUGGCACCUCGAUGUCGGCUCAUAGCAUCCUGGGGCGGUAGUACGUCCCAAGGGUUGGGCUGUUCGCCCAUGAAAGCGGUACGCGAGCUGGGUUCAGAACGUCGUGAGACAGUUCGGUCCAUAUCCGGUGUAGGCGUUAGAAUAUUGAGAGGAGCCUUCUUUAGUACGAGAGGACCGAGAAGGACAUACCUCUGGUGUACCAGUUAUCGUGCCAACGGUAAACGCUGGGUAGCUAUGUAUGGAGUGGAUAACCGCUGAAAGCAUCUAAGUGGGAAGCCCACCUCAAGAUAAGUAUUCC
Molecule: ribosomal RNA, 1241 nt
Filed under: metagenome
Description: bacterial LSU rRNA
Rfam family: Bacterial large subunit ribosomal RNA
Source: RNAcentral